Molecule: ribosomal RNA, 248 nt
Filed under: uncultured bacterium
Lineage: Bacteria
Description: partial small subunit ribosomal RNA
Rfam family: Bacterial small subunit ribosomal RNA
Source: RNAcentral
AGAAUCAACGCUGGCGGCGUGCCUAACACAUGCAAGUCGCACGAGAAAGGGGACUUCGGUCCCUGAGUACAGUGGCGCACGGGUGAGUAACACGUGAAUCAUCUACCUUCGAGUGGGGAAUAACUGAGAGAAUCUUAGCUAAUACCGCAUAAUACCUACGGGUCAAAGCAGCAAUGCGCUUGAAGAGGAGUUCGGCGGCAGAUUAGUUAGUUGGGCGGGGUAAUGGCCCACCAAGACGAUGAUCUGUA